GUUUGUUUUGUUUUCUUCUGGUUCUCGUGUCUUCUUUGGUUCGACCCGAUUUACCGUUGGUUUUCUUUCUUCUUGUAUUACUUCCAUUUUUGUUCCUUUAAAUAUUUUGGUUGAUGUUUUAUUUUAGCUUUUGCUUCUACCAUUGUUCUUAAUUUUAUUUUUGUAGUAUAUAAAACAUAUAUAUGUACAUGUGUGAACUGUUUGUUUUAAUGCUUGAACCUUUGUAACGCCCCGAACACACCCGCCGGUGGUCGUUACUAUUGGCAGGAUCUAGACUGGCCCCACAGAUCAAUACGAGUCUUUUCUACGCACUUUGUCCUCACUCGUGCGCACCCGGGAGCAACUUCCCGAUCAGUCACCCAUCCUGAAACUAAUCCAAGUUGAGCACGCUUAACUUUAGAGUUCAGUCUGAAUGGGCUCCCAGAAAAGAAGGAAUUCUUUAUUGAUAUGAGUAGUCUAUCAUCCCUAAUAAGUCAGGCUAUCACAUACACCCCCGCUCAGAGGAACCAACGUCCUCGUCGAGCAACAGGAAUGUUCCCUCUUGGCACAUACGUCUGUGCUUCCAGUCUGGCACAUGUGUCAUUCCGUGUGCCACGACGGGUCACAAACGUCAUGCACAACAUGACCGUGCACCUGUCCGCAAACAUUCGUGUAACCGUGACGGUCGACUCUGAUACCAACUCGUAACGCCCCGGACACACCCGCCGGCGGUCGUUACUCCUGGCCUGGUUGGUCUCUAUGCGACCAACCAAACAUGCCCUUAUUGUUGUCAAUAGGGGUAGAUAAAUCCUAUUUUAUGUUCAAUGCAAGGGGGGUUUGCCGGUUUGGGCCAUGGGCCUCACGCAUUUCCGGUUUCUUCUCGUUUUUGGUGGUUUCGACAUUUAUUUCAUGUUUGUUUUGUUUUCUUCUGGUUCUCGUGUCUUCUUUGGUUCGACCCGAUUUGCCAUUGGUUUUCUUUCUUCUUGUAUCACUUCCAUUUUUGUUCCUUUAAAUAUUUUGGUUGAUGUUUUCUUUUAGCUUUUCCCUCUUUCAUUGUUCUUAAUUUUAUUUUUGUAGUAUAUAAAACAUAUAUAUGUACAUGUGUGAACUAUUUGUUUUAAUGCUUGAACCUUU
This 1113-nucleotide long non-coding RNA is filed under the name Triticum aestivum (bread wheat). Its description in RNAcentral is "long non-coding RNA (TAES_LNC010423)". The record is from RNAcentral. Lineage: Eukaryota; Viridiplantae; Streptophyta; Magnoliopsida; Poales; Poaceae.